Molecule: ribosomal RNA, 523 nt
Filed under: uncultured microorganism
Description: bacterial SSU rRNA
Rfam family: Bacterial small subunit ribosomal RNA
Source: RNAcentral
UGAUCGUGGCUCAGGACGAACGCUGGCGGCGUGCCUAAUACAUGCAAGUAGAACGCUGAGGUUUGGUGUUUACACUAGACUGAUGAGUUGCGAACGGGUGAGUAACGCGUAGGUAACCUGCCUCAUAGCGGGGGGAUAACUAUUGGAAACGAUAGCUAAUACCGCAUAAGAGUAAUUAACACAUGUUAGUUAUUUAAAAGGAGCAAUUGCUUCACUGUGAGAUGGACCUGCGUUGUAUUAGCUAGUUGGUGAGGUAAAGGCUCACCAAGGCGACGAUACAUAGCCGACCUGAGAGGGUGAUCGGCCACACUGGGACUGAGACACGGCCCAGACUCCUACGGGAGGCAGCAGUAGGGAAUCUUCGGCAAUGGACGGAAGUCUGACCGAGCAACGCCGCGUGAGUGAAGAAGGUUUUCGGAUCGUAAAGCUCUGUUGUUAGAGAAGAACGUUGGUAGGAGUGGAAAAUCUACCAGUGACGGUAACUAACCAGAAAGGACGGCUAACUACGUGCCAGCCGCGCAGU